Molecule: ribosomal RNA, 253 nt
Filed under: uncultured bacterium
Lineage: Bacteria
Description: partial 16S ribosomal RNA
Rfam family: Bacterial small subunit ribosomal RNA
Source: RNAcentral
UACGUAGGGACCGAGCGUUGUCCGGAUUCAUUGGGCGUAAAGAGCUCGUAGGCGGCUCUUUAAGUCGGGGGUGAAAUCCUGGAGCUCAACUCCAGAACUGCCUUCGAUACUGAAGAGCUCGAGUCCGGGAGAGGUGAGUGGAACUGCGAGUGUAGAGGUGAAAUUCGUAGAUAUUCGCAAGAACACCAGUGGCGAAGGCGGCUCACUGGCCCGGUACUGACGCUGAGGUGCGAAAGCGUGGGGAGCAAACAGG